Molecule: transfer RNA, 73 nt
Filed under: Camelus bactrianus (Bactrian camel)
Lineage: Eukaryota; Metazoa; Chordata; Mammalia; Artiodactyla; Camelidae
Also listed under: 1 other name
Rfam family: tRNA
About the family: Transfer RNA (tRNA) molecules are approximately 80 nucleotides in length. Their secondary structure includes four short double-helical elements and three loops (D, anti-codon, and T loops).
Source: Rfam by way of RNAcentral
GGGGAUAUAGCUCAAAGGAAAAAGUGUGUGCUUAGCACAGGUGAGGUCCUGGGUUCAAUUCCCGGUACCUCCA